RNAcentral lists this ribosomal RNA (494 nucleotides) under uncultured bacterium. Its description in RNAcentral is "partial 16S ribosomal RNA". It matches the Rfam family "Bacterial small subunit ribosomal RNA", at positions 28 to 507 of the family's 1533-position model. The record is from RNAcentral.
GACGAACGCUGGCGGCGCGCUUAACACAUGCAAGUCGAACGGAAAGGCCUGCUUUCCCUUGUGGAUUGCGGGUACUCGAGUGGCGAACGGGUGAGUAACACGUGAGUGAUCUGCCCCCAACUUGGGUAUAAGCCUGGGAAACUGGGUCUAAUUCCCGAUAGGACUGCAGGGUGGUGCCUGUGGUGGAAAACGAUUUUCUAGUGGUUGGGGAUGAGCUCGCGGCCUAUCAGCUUGUUGGUGGGGUAAUGGCCUACCAAGGCGGCGACGGGUAGCCGGCCUGAGAGGGUGGACGGCCACAUUGGGACUGAGAUACAGCCCAGACUCCUACGGGAGGCAGCAGUGGGGAAUAUUACACAAUGGGCGGAAGCCUGAUGCAGCGACGCCGCGUGGGGGAUGACGGCCUUCGGGUUGUAAACUCCUUUCGACCGCGAGGAAGCCACCUGGUUGGAAGGGUGGUGACGGUAGUGGUAGAAGAAGCACCGGCUAACUACGUG